AGAUUGAACGCUGGCGGCAGGCCUAACACAUGCAAGUCGAGCGGCAGCACGGGUACUUGUACCUGGUGGCGAGCGGCGGACGGGUGAGUAAUGCCUAGGAAUCUGCCUAGUGGUGGGGGAUAACGUUCGGAAACGGACGCUAAUACCGCAUACGUCCUACGGGAGAAAGCGGGGGACCUUCGGGCCUCGCGCCAUUAGAUGAGCCUAGGUCGGAUUAGCUAGUUGGUGAGGUAAUGGCUCACCAAGGCGACGAUCCGUAACUGGUCUGAGAGGAUGAUCAGUCACACUGGAACUGAGACACGGUCCAGACUCCUACGGGAGGCAGCCAGUGGGGAAUAUUGGACAAU
RNAcentral lists this ribosomal RNA (347 nucleotides) under uncultured soil bacterium. Its description in RNAcentral is "bacterial SSU rRNA". It matches the Rfam family "Bacterial small subunit ribosomal RNA", at positions 26 to 372 of the family's 1533-position model. The record is from RNAcentral.